RNAcentral lists this ribosomal RNA (190 nucleotides) under uncultured bacterium. Its description in RNAcentral is "partial 16S ribosomal RNA". It matches the Rfam family "Bacterial small subunit ribosomal RNA", at positions 1311 to 1500 of the family's 1533-position model. The record is from RNAcentral.
CUCAACUACAUGAAGCUGGAAUCGCUAGUAAUCGCGAAUCAGCAUGUCGCGGUGAAUACGUUCCCGGGUCUUGUACACACCGCCCGUCACACCAUGGGAGUCGGAAAUGCCCGAAGUCGGUGACCGAACCGAAAGGAAGGAGCCGCCGAAGGCAGGUCUGGUGACUGGGGUGAAGUCGUAACAAGGUAUC